Long non-coding RNA from Dreissena polymorpha, 707 nucleotides. RefSeq lists it as uncharacterized. The transcript is spliced from 2 exons. NCBI's taxonomy places the organism in Eukaryota, Metazoa, Mollusca, Bivalvia, Myida, Dreissenidae. The record is from RefSeq and is a predicted model, not a curated record.
GGAAAUCCAUAUUUCUUUAUGGAUCAAUACGGUAACAUUUCAAAACGGUAGCAACAUACAAUUUGGUUCCUGCGGCAAAGGUGAGAUAACAAUGUACUUAUUCAAGUUUUAUGUAAUUAAAUGUUAAAGCAUCAGCUAAGUAUCAAGUUCCAAGUAUCAGUAAAUUGAUGUUUAUUGACGUAUCUUUCGCACAUAAAAAGCCUAAAUAGCUACAUGUAAUUGAGUCUGCAAAUAAAGACUAUAUAUAUGUUGAAACAGAAGAACAAACGAUACAAGAAAUCUUCGUCAUCGUGGCAUAGUGAACCUAUGUCAGCCUAUUGACCGUGAGGUCAAAAAGCGGACAUUUUUCAGCGCCACGAAUACAACCUUUAAAAGCCGCAGACGCCGCAGACGUUGACGCAAAUUUCUCAACAGUGCCAGAGAGGAGCAUCGUCAAAAAGACCCAACAUUCCACGAGUUUGAGCAUAUACCUCCACUCUUCGUCAUGAUGUCACGAAAAAGAUGGCAGACUAUGUCGCUGUACUUACCAACAUUUAAGGUCCCGUUCAAAUCGUUGUGAUGAACUUCGAGAUUGGUUCGUGUUAAGACAUGUAACAAUAGUUGGACAGUAGGUCAAAACGUACACUUUUUAUGUUGUAUAAUGCUAGUAUGCAAAAUAAUAUCAUAUAAAGUACAUUCAAGCUGUAGUAUGAUAAACAUAAAUUCAG